Ochotona curzoniae (black-lipped pika) is the source of this 1206-nucleotide long non-coding RNA. RefSeq lists it as uncharacterized. The record is from RefSeq and is a predicted model, not a curated record. Lineage: Eukaryota; Metazoa; Chordata; Mammalia; Lagomorpha; Ochotonidae. The transcript has 3 exons.
AGAUCAACUGAGGAGGAGAGAGGUCUAAAUUUGUUCCACUCUGCAUUUGGCCACAAUGGCUGUGGCUGAGACAGUCUGAAGCCAAGAAGUAGAAGCUAUCUCCUGUUCUCCCUUGUGGUUGUCGGGGUUGAAGGACUUGGCAUUCCUCUGCUCUUCUGUCCAGGAACUGGAUCCAACAUGGAGUACCUGAGACAUGAAAGGACACCAAUAUGUGACACUGGUACCACUGGCCGAGACUUCUGCAAGAGCAGCCACUUGGCUAACUGCUAUAAUCUACUCUACUAUACCUUUCUGGAGCCUUGGAUGUCACACAGCUCUUGGUGUGUGCAAACUGGGUAGCAACCAGCUUCAGGCCCUGGCUGGUGAAUUCCUUGACUUGAAUCUGAGACUCAGGGCUGCAGAAGCAUCUGAAGCUGCAGAUCUCCAGAUGCAGAAUGGAGACCCUUCUUGCCGUGUUUAAAGAGCAUUUCAGAAUACACACAGAGACAGGCAACAUCUGGACACAUCUCUAAGCAAUGAAAACCUAAAAUUGCAUGUCUGUAAGUGGGCCUCCAGAGCCCAGUGCAACAAGGAGCCCCACAGCCCCUUCCGGCCACACAGAACUUCCCAGGGUGAGGAGAGGAAGCACAGCAGGGCGCCCUGGUGUCCAGGAGGAGGAAGAAAAGGGUCCCCAAAGGUGGGGCGUCCAGCGGAGGAAUCCUGCGUGGUGCUGACGCGGAGGGAUUGGCCGCAUGGUCACUUCCUGUGAGAUGCUGCGGCCCUGCACCCUCAGUCAGUGAAGAGCCAGUGGAGAAAGAGGACAAGUCACUGGGUUCUCCAGAGAACUGUUCUCUUGCAAGAGAUGCUCUGCGGGUUCCGGCUCCGGGAGAGGACGUAAGGGCUCAUGGACUCCAGCUGAAAAUCAUCCUGCCUGCUGUCCACCUGCCCCCCACCUGGGGAGGGUCUCUCAGUGGCCGCCAUGGUGGACAUGGGGCCGGCUGUGUGCGAGUUGGUGCCUGGUCCCAGAGUGCCUGGUCUUUGAGCCUCGCUGGAGGACUUCAUAGACCCACUGGGCUUCAUCAGCACCAUCCGACCUGUUACUGAAAACAAGGACACCUACAAGGUAAGACCCCCAAGGUCCAGGGGUCCAGGAAGGGGAGGUGGCAGCUUGGCCUUAGCACCUGUGUGGGAGUGCAGGUGGCAGCUUGUCCCCAAGAGCAUGGGUAG